RNAcentral lists this ribosomal RNA (354 nucleotides) under uncultured Methanosarcinales archaeon. Its description in RNAcentral is "bacterial SSU rRNA". It matches the Rfam family "Archaeal small subunit ribosomal RNA", at positions 753 to 1106 of the family's 1478-position model. Lineage: Archaea; Methanobacteriati; Methanobacteriota; Methanomicrobia; Methanosarcinales. The record is from RNAcentral.
GUAAACGAUGCUCGCUAGGUGUCGGCCACGGUGCGACCGUUGUCGGUGCCGUAGGGAAGCCGUGAAGCGAGCCACCUGGGAAGUACGGCCGCAAGGCUGAAACUUAAAGGAAUUGGCGGGGGAGCACCACAACGGGUGGAGCUUGCGGUUUAAUUGGAUUCAACGCCGGAAAUCUUACCGGGACCGACAGCAAUAUGAAGGCCAGGCUGAAGACUUUGCCGGAUUAGCUGAGAGGUGGUGCAUGGCCGUCGUCAGUUCGUACUGUGAAGCAUCCUGUUAAGUCAGGCAACGAGCGAGACCCACGCCCACAGUUGCCAGCGUACUCUCUGGAGUGACGGGUACUCUGUGGGGACC